RNAcentral lists this long non-coding RNA (2983 nucleotides) under Sarcophilus harrisii (Tasmanian devil). Its description in RNAcentral is "lncRNA (ENSSHAG00000030103.1)". Lineage: Eukaryota; Metazoa; Chordata; Mammalia; Dasyuromorphia; Dasyuridae. The record is from RNAcentral.
GCACCAGUUUUAAUAUUAAUACUGUGUUAAAAAGGAUAUAUUACAGUACUGUUAUUUUUUUAAAUCAACAAUGUUAAAUGCCAUAUGAUUUAGGACUGUUUCAUGUUUAUAAUAACGUUUAAAGAUAAAUAGAUUGAUGUAACAAACAGAUGUAUCUCCAACGAUAAUUAGAGUUAUGGUGACGAGGUCUAUUAACAGAAUCUUAUUAAUAGAAUUUUAUGUGUUGGGGGAAUUAUUUUGGGAUAAUUAUGUUUUGAUACAUCAUUAGUUUAAAUAGCAAUACUUAAAAUAAUACAAAUAGAUUUACAUUUAAAUAGAAUUCCAUUAAAUCAACAUGACAAACCUAAUGGAAAGAAAUGUUCAAAAGCAAUAAAGGCUUGAGACUGCUAUUGGAGAAAUAGGCAUGCUUAAUCACUUUAUUGCAAUCCUGUCAUAUAAAUCUGAUACUUUUUUGGGAUGAAAAUUCCUGAAAAGUAACUAAUUUUCUGGUCUAUGGUAUCAUUUUUUAAAAUAAAGAAUAAAAGUAAUGAGGCAGUUUUUCAUUACUUUAUAAGUAGGAAUAUUAUGAACAUUUUUUACAAAUAUCCACUUCUUCACCCCUUAUUCUCUCCCAACCAUAACUGCCCAAUUAAAUACAGUUUAAAGAGAAUAAGAACUAAAACUUAUUAUAAAGUAUUUGAGGCACAUGCCACAACUAAACUUGCACUGACACCAAAUUGUCAUUCUUAUUGACUAAAUAUUUAUCAUUAAAUUGUUAAGAAAUACUUCUGAAAUCCAAUAUAUUGAAAUUAAUUUUUAAUAAGAAGUACAAAAAGAUAAUGUUAAGUGAUAUGUGCAGGUAAUCAAUAAUUUUUUGUCAACAGCAAGCAAAAAGCGGCACAUUCAAACAAAGUUUAACUUAAUUCUCUUACACUUAAAAAAAAAGGCUAUAAAUUUUCCAAUUAAAACAAAGUCACAAAUGAAAGAAUACUAUCACCCUUAGUUAUAUCCUAAUAGCUAGAAACUUACCAGAGAAGCACCCAGAAAUUUCUGUGCAAUGUCACUAUUCAAAGGUCAGUGUAUGUGCACGUUUCAUGCAAUGACUCUUCAUGUGGCCUUUGCUGUUAAUUGGUGAGAAGAAAUAUAAGUCCCUCUGCUUUCUCUGUUAAUUAGGUGACUCAUCAAAACAUUUUCUAAAGAUGUUUCUGGACACCCCCAACAGACAAUAAGGUUAUCACAUUCAAAGGAGACUAGGACUGCUUACCUGAGAUUCUUCUCAACCUAAAUUGUGUUUAUUCCCAACAUUCUCAAAGGGAGGGUCCAACCAAUUUUCCUGUCUUAAUAAAGUCUAUUAAAUCUCACAGUAAGUUGAGACAUAGGCACCCAUAAUUGCCAGGGAUCAAGCAUUUGGCUGCAAGAUUUCAAUCUCAUGCUAUUACCUUUGGGCUUCAAUUUCCCACAAGCCUUCAGUUUUAUUGAGAAGUUUUAAUCUUAGUUUAUCCCCACAAAACUAUUGGCCCAAACCAAUCAAAAAUAAUAAGCACCUAUUAUAUCCCAGUCUUUAUGAUAGAUGCUACAUACAAUAACCAAAGUAAUGCAGUCCUAAACCCCUAGGAGAUCUGUUUCACAAACUCUUAAGAGUUAUUUAUUUCCUUUAGAAAAAGAACAAGGUGUUUUUUGCAAACUUUGCUUUCUAGUGGGAUCAAUGCUUAUUUUUUUGUCAUAGGAGCAGAAGUAUUUUUAAUACAUCACUUUAAUUGGAGCAGUGAGAGGUUAGUAAGAAUGUGUCUUGUCAUCUGUCUGGGGAACUUCGUGUAGAAACUCCCUUCACUAAUGCAGAUCAGUAAUUCAUCUACUAUGCAUCUUAGGAUCACAAAUACAAAUGGUAGUUGCUAAGAACCUGGUGACCAAAGUGAUAGUAUUUGUUAGAGGUAGGAUCUGAACACUAGUCUUCAAUACCCCUCUCCCCAGUAUGCCAUAGUAGAGCUAAACCAGAAAAUUAGAUUUCACAAAAAUCCUUUGUAUUGAGAGAGAUAAGAGGUUAAAAUAUCAAGUUGAAAUCAAGAAAUGAACCAAAGAGAGUGAAAGGUGGGGUUCUUCACACCAAUAAUGGCAGUACAAUUCUUUUGUUUUUCUUCCUUAAGUCUCUUAUAAAUGUAAAAGCACAGUAUUGGAAUUCAUCUGGGGGCUCAGAUUCAAUUCAUGAUUGUUUUUUGAACAUGAUAAGUAAGCACAGAGGAAAUAUAACAAGCAAAUUGCUGACAAAUUUGUGUCCAAAUGAAAAACAACUUAAAUGUGAAAUAGUUAAUAAAAUUUAUAUUUAAAAUAACUUCCUGAAUGUUAUUACCAACUUGGAAAUGACAAAAUUAAAUGGCAACACAGAAUGAGAAACAAAACCCUAACCUAUGCAAAACUUCCACAUAAAUGGAAUUCUUUUUUCAUUUCUCUAUUCCAAGAAGUAGAUUUUGUUUCACAGGAGAACAAUGUUGUCUUUUUAGAUACUCUGAGGUUGCAAAUAGCUGUGGUAAUAUUAAGUUGCAAUAUUUAAAAUAUAUUAAUAUGCGAGCUAGUGAAAGCUCAGCAAUUUCCUCAGUUUGCGUAUACUAGAUACUAGGUGGCUUUAGGCAUGCAUUAAAUAGAAAUUCCUGGUUGCCAACCAUAAAUACUACUCCAUGAGGAGAAAAACCCCAUUGGAUCUCAAACCAACCAAUUAUAUUGGCCUUUCCAUGAGCAUUUGACAAUGAGUUGGGUACUCAGUUUCUACACACUUUUAAGAAUUUCAUAAGGGAAUAUUCUUCAAAAUGAUCUCUGGCAUUCUUUAGGAGGCAAUUAUGUUAUCCUGUUGACUUAUUGUAAUUAGAAAUGUAAACGUAUGAGGAAAAAAAUAUAUUCCAGUUAGAUAUGAUGGAUUUAGGUAUUAUGACUAAUUCCCUAAGGCUUUCUAGAGUCUAUUGAAGACAAUAACAAUGAAUAUUUUCAUUCAUUGUUUCUCUUUCUAAAGUUA